UACAGGGUCCUUUUCAAAAGAGUGAUAAAUAUUCUGGCAACACCAUUGAAGAUGAUGAGUUCAGUGUCUCCACACUACUAGAGAAGGCCAAUGCUAAUCUUGGAAAGAACUUGGAUGAGCCUCUAGUGCUGUUUGGAGACAUAGCAGUGCCAACAGGUCUAGGGAAUGCUGACCCCUGCACAGCACGAGGUUGCCUGUGGCCUAAAGCCCCCGACGGCAAUGUAUAUGUGCCAUACCGCAUCUCCAGGC
Monopterus albus (swamp eel) is the source of this 249-nucleotide long non-coding RNA. RefSeq lists it as uncharacterized. Lineage: Eukaryota; Metazoa; Chordata; Actinopteri; Synbranchiformes; Synbranchidae. The transcript is spliced from 3 exons. The record is from RefSeq and is a predicted model, not a curated record.